CCGGCGACCGGCGGACGGGUGCGUAACGCGUAUGCAACCUACCUUUGACAGGGGGAUAACAUCGAGAAAUUGGUACUAAUACCCCAUAACAUCACCGGAGGCAUCUUCGGUGGUUGAAAACUCAGGUGGUCAGAGAUGGACAUGCGUUGUAUUAGCUAGUUGGUGAGGUAACGGCUCACCAAGGCGACGAUACAUAGGGGGACUGAGAGGUCAACCCCCCACAUUGGUACUGAGGCACGGACCAAACUCCUACGGAAGGCAGCAG
RNAcentral lists this ribosomal RNA (265 nucleotides) under uncultured bacterium. Its description in RNAcentral is "partial 16S ribosomal RNA". It matches the Rfam family "Bacterial small subunit ribosomal RNA", at positions 88 to 354 of the family's 1533-position model. The record is from RNAcentral.